Molecule: ribosomal RNA, 425 nt
Filed under: uncultured bacterium
Lineage: Bacteria
Description: partial 16S ribosomal RNA
Rfam family: Bacterial small subunit ribosomal RNA
Source: RNAcentral
GUGAGGAAUAUUGGUCAAUGGGCGCAAGCCUGAUCCAGCCAUUCCGCGUGAGUGAUGAAGGCCUUAGGGUUGUAAAGCUCUUUCAGUGGGGACGAUAAUGACGGUACCCCCAGAAGAAGCCCCGGCUAACUUCGUGCCAGCAGCCGCGGUAAUACGCAGGGGGCUAGCGUUGUUCGGAUUUACUGGGCGUCAAGCGCACGUAGGCGGAUCGUUCAGUCGGGGGUGAAAUCCUGGAGCUCAACUGCAGAACUGCCUUCGAUACUGGAGAUCUUGGGGCCGGAAGAGGUGAGUGGAACUCCGAGUGUAGAGGUGGAAUUCGUAGAUAUUAGGAAGAACACCAGUGGCGAAGGCGGCUCAGUGGUCCGGUACUGACGCUGAGGUGCGAAAGCGUGGGGAGCAAACAGGAUUAGAAACCCCGGUAGUCC